GGAAGUAAAAGUCGUAACAAGGUUUCCGUAGGUGAACCUGCGGAAGGACCAUUAAUGAUUUUUAAAGCGAGUCGAGCGUUAAGCGAGGCUUGCGAAAUAUUUAAAACCCCACUCUUUUAACCUUAAAAAAUAAAUCAUGAUAUACAUGGAUUUAAAAAAAAGAUCACUUUCAACAACGGAUCUCUUGGCUCUCGCAUCGAUGAAGAACGCAGCGAAAUGCGAUGAGUAGUGUGAAUUGCAUAAUUUUGUGAAUCAUCGAAUCUUUGAACGCAAAUUGCACUCUCUGGUAUUCCGGAGAGUAUGCCUGUUUGAGGGUCAGUUAAAUAAAAAUCGGUGUUGUUGCUGCCUUUCGUGGUGACGCGUCGGAAUUGAGUUGUCUUACCUUCGGUUAAGUGACUUAAAAUUUUGUAUGAUUUUUGAACGUAUUUAAAUUUAUUUGUACGUUUGAGAUAUCGAAUAUUUAUUAGGUUCGGUCAUUCUAACGACUCAUGCCUAUAAUUUUUCAUUAAAUGACCUCAAAUCAGGUAAGAGUACCCGCUGAACUUAAGCAUAUCAAUAAGCGGAGGA
Molecule: ribosomal RNA, 567 nt
Filed under: uncultured Glomus
Lineage: Eukaryota; Fungi; Glomeromycota; Glomeromycetes; Glomerales; Glomeraceae
Description: eukaryotic LSU rRNA
Rfam family: 5.8S ribosomal RNA (bases 165-318)
Source: RNAcentral